Molecule: ribosomal RNA, 571 nt
Filed under: Trifolium scabrum
Lineage: Eukaryota; Viridiplantae; Streptophyta; Magnoliopsida; Fabales; Fabaceae
Description: eukaryotic LSU rRNA
Rfam family: 5.8S ribosomal RNA (bases 116-271)
Source: RNAcentral
AACACAAACCCCGACGCUGAAUGCGUCAAGGAAUUUAAAAUUUGCUCUGAGCGCCACCUGCAUGCCACCGGAGACGGUUUUCGUGCAGGUUGUGUUCUGACACAUAAUAUAGAAUGACUCUCGGCAACGGAUAUCUAGGCUCUUGCAUCGAUGAAGAACGUAGCGAAAUGCGAUACUUGGUGUGAAUUGCAGAAUCCCGUGAACCAUCGAGUCUUUGAACGCAAGUUGCGCCCGAUGCCACUAGGUUGAGGGCACGUCUGCCUGGGCGUCACAUAUCGAAGCCUCUUGCCAAUUUCCUAUUAAUAGGUAUUUUGCAGGAUGAUGUUGGCCUCCCGUGAGCUCCAUUGUCUCAUGGUUGGUUGAAAAUUGAGACCUUGGUAGGGUGUGUGCCAUGAUAGAUGGUGGAUGUGUUACGCAUGAGACCAAAUAAUCAUGUGCUGCUCUAUCGAAUUUAGCCUCUUUAACCCACAUGCGUUUCUAAACGCUCGUGAUGAGACCUCAGGUCAGGCGGGGCUACCCGCUGAAUUUAAGCAUAUCAAUAAGCGGAGGAAAAGAAACUAACAAGGAUUCC